GCAGUAGUGGCUCAGUGGUAGAGUUCUCACCUUCCAUUUGGGAGACCCAGGUUCUAUUCCCAGCCAGUGCA
This 71-nucleotide transfer RNA is filed under the name Loxodonta africana (African savanna elephant). It matches the Rfam family "tRNA". Rfam says of the family: Transfer RNA (tRNA) molecules are approximately 80 nucleotides in length. The record is from Rfam by way of RNAcentral. Lineage: Eukaryota; Metazoa; Chordata; Mammalia; Proboscidea; Elephantidae.